This 506-nucleotide ribosomal RNA is filed under the name uncultured bacterium. RNAcentral's name for it is "partial 16S ribosomal RNA". It matches the Rfam family "Bacterial small subunit ribosomal RNA", at positions 30 to 523 of the family's 1533-position model. The record is from RNAcentral.
AUUGAACGCUGGCGGCAGGCCUAACACAUGCAGGUCGAACGGUAACAGGAAACAGCUUGCUGUUUCGCUGACGAGUGGCGGACGGGUGAGUAAUGUCUGGGAAACUGCCCGGUGGAGGGGGAUAACUACUGGAAACGGUAGCUAAUACCGCAUAACGUCGCAAGACCAAAGAGGGGGACCUUCGGGCCUCUUGCCAUCGGAUGUGCCCAGAUGGGAUUAGCUAGUAGGUGGGGUAACGGCUCACCUAGGCGACGAUCCCUAGCUGGUCUGAGAGGAUGACCAGCCACACUGGAACUGAGACACGGUCCAGACUCCUACGGGAGGCAGCAGUGGGGAAUAUUGCACAAUGGGCGCAAGCCUGAUGCAGCCAUGCCGCGUGUAUGAAGAAGGCCUUCGGGUUGUAAAGUACUUUCAGCGGGGAGGAAGGGAGUAAAGUCAAUACCUUUGCUCAUUGACGUUACCCGCAGAAGGAGCACCGGCUAACUCCGUGCCAGCCGCCGCAGUAA